Molecule: ribosomal RNA, 497 nt
Filed under: uncultured bacterium
Lineage: Bacteria
Description: partial 16S ribosomal RNA
Rfam family: Bacterial small subunit ribosomal RNA
Source: RNAcentral
GAUGAACGCUGGCGGCGUGCCUAAUACAUGCAAGUCGAGCGAACAGACGAGGAGCUUGCUCCUCUGACGUUAGCGGCGGACGGGUGAGUAACACGUGGAUAACCUACCUAUAAGACUGGGAUAACUUCGGGAAACCGGAGCUAAUACCGGAUAAUAUAUUGAACCGCAUGGUUCAAUGGUGAAAGACGGUUUUGCUGUCACUUAUAGAUGGAUCCGCGCCGCAUUAGCUAGUUGGUAAGGUAACGGCUUACCAAGGCAACGAUGCGUAGCCGACCUGAGAGGGUGAUCGGCCACACUGGAACUGAGACACGGUCCAGACUCCUACGGGAGGCAGCAGUAGGGAAUCUUCCGCAAUGGGCGAAAGCCUGACGGGGCAACGCCGCGUGAGUGAUGAAGGUCUUCGGAUCGUAAAACUCUGUUAUUAGGGAAGAACAAAUGUGUAAGUAACUAUGCACGUCUUGACGGUACCUAAUCAGAAAGCCACGGCUAACUACGUG